UAGUAUGUAGCGUAUUGCGAUCAUUAUAAAUAAUUAUAAUCUUGUGUGUUUUAAUUGAGCUUCGAAAAUAUAUAUUUCGGAUACAAAUUUUUCAUUAUUUUGAUACGAAAAAAACUGUGUUAUAAAACGAUAAUAAAUCUCUAAGAUGUAAAAAAAUAAGGUAAUAAAGAGAAGCAAUUACAGAGAGAGGAAAUAUAAUUGAAACAUGCGGAUAUGCGAAAACUGCGAUCUAGAAUGAACGGGCGAAAUUUAUUGAAUGGUUAGCAUGAAUAGAGUGCACUGUUCAAGGAUGAUGUUAUCCAGUGGAAACUAUAUAGCAUAUUGCCGAUUCACGCGACAAAUUUCAAAUCAUCCGUGGCAACUUAAAGUAGUCAAAGUAGACAAAGGAAGUCUUUGCACGCGGAAGUCAAGCCAGUAUUCGGCAGUGAUAAUCUGGGCAUAUAUCGAUUGGUGCCAUUCAGUGCCUGGUGAUAUUCGAGUUGCGAUGCUUUUCUGUAAGAGACGGGAAGGGGAGUGUUUUUCUUCGGCAAUGAAGGAGAUAAAUGGUUGACGGCGAUACAGUUUCCUCAGGGCUUCUCGGCGGCAGCCACGGUCCAAACGGCGGGGGGGCUUGCGUUCGCCACGAACGGUCAACCUUCACUGAAAUAGUGUCGACGUCGGCGUCACGACGCUUCCACCCCUUACUCCAGGGGGAUACCACCACCGCGUAGAGGGUGGGAAGGAUGAUCGCGUGCCGCGAACGCCUACCUAAACGCGGUCCCCGCAAAUCAGAGGAGCGUAGGAGGAGGUGGUGUAAAAAGAGCAAAGUUCCGGACAUGAAGAAAGGAUGCACAUUAGGUUGUAAAAUAUUAUUGCCACCGGCGAAUAGCAAGGAGUAUGUGGUUGGCGGUAACUAGACCAUCGCUAUGCCACCAGCCCAACCAGGUGAAUCGGUUCCCACAAUGUCGUGCCUGGAGCCACGCGGUUCACUCAUUGCCUAAGGAAACGACUUUACUUCUUGUUCCAUGGCGCUAAACUAAGUUAGUAACUUUCAGAUCCUUUUACUUUUAAGAUUCAUUAUAGCGAGAGAUCGACUUUGUCGAAAUUAUCAUUACUUUAUCAAAGACGAAAACAUUAUACAUUAUAUUAUACAUUAUAUAUUAUAUAUAUCUAAUUUAUAACUCUCAGUCUCAAGUAUAGAAACAGACACAGAAGCGUUGGCGAAUCACUGCAUCAAUGAAUCGCUCACAUAGGUCUACGGAGAAAGAUAGACGCCCUUAUCGCGUGUUUCUCCCGAAGGAGAGUAAAAAAUAAGAGAAGGGAACCGGCGUGUAUCGAUUUAUUUUACUAGCCGUCGUCAAGGAACUGCAUUUCAAUAUUAUCGCAUGAUAAGGUUACGUUAUACACUUUAUUACCGCCGUUGUCCGAAUCUCUCAGAUGAUUCUUGUCCCUGCCCACAAUUAGCAAAAUUAGAAAAAAGAUAUAAACGACUCGUGUUCUUGUCACCGCUUGUAAGCUUAUCGAAAAAUAAAUAUUUUUUAGAGAUAUUUUAUUUUGUAUUAGAAUAUAAAACAUUUUGUAAAAAGUAACUAUAUUAAUACAUAAUAUUUAUAUAAAAACAUAAAUCCUCCGUUCCUUAUUUCAGAAAACACUAUUAUUUAGAUAAAGGACAAGAGUUUAAGAUUUACUUCAUUUUUUGUACAAGCGGCUUAUGUUGGUUUUAGAAAAUUGUCUCUUAUCGUUAAAAUUUCUUUCCAUUCGAAAAUAACUUUCUUGAACUUUGCUAAAUGCUUAGUAUAUAUAACACAUCAUUCUUUCACACCAAUCGUUCUUGGCGUGGUUUCUUCUCGGCUAGUAUGAUUUUCAAUGUGGAAGAAUCAUCUACGAUAAAACAAUCACCAAAUAGUUCUUACACAUCUAGUCUUAUCAGGUUAAAAUUUUCCGCGAACUUGAUACGUUUCUAUGUAUUUUUAUUUAAAAAUUUUUUUAUUUAUAAACUGAUCGGCAAAAAAGUGAUUUUUUCGAUCAUUUUAACACAAUUCUUGUAAUUAAAAAUUCUUAAUCAUAUUCAUAAUAGUAUCCAAUUAUAUUAAAUGUAAAAAAUCAAAGAAUAUAGUCUACAUAUCGAAUAAAAGGAAAAAUUGCAAUAUAAAAUAUUACUUUUCUCUAGCAAUAAAUAUUAAUGAAGUGGAAUUAUUUAUUUAUUGCAGUAGAAACUAAAUUAAAUGCAGUAAUCAUAUUAAGGGUUUAUGUCGAAAUCGAAGAUGAUUAAUUAAGAAUUCAUUCGACAAUAAAAUUGAUUGUUCAGCGAAUAUUUAUCUUGAAUAAAGUGAUCGAGUGCAAUAUAUUUGGAAGAAAAAGAGAAGGAAGACAAUACCGGCGAACAGAUUUCUCUCUUUCUCUAUCUUUCUGUCUUUCUCCUUCUCUUUCUCUCUUUCUUAUUUUAUUUUUCUACGAACUGGUGACCCCGAGCUGUCAAAGUCCGUCAGUAUGUAUUGCCCCCGGGUCAUUCUUCCAUCUAUAAACGAGGCAUUAUUUACAGCAUUGCGCGUGCAUCGCAUUAUGAAAAGAUUACAAAUUUCGUCAGCCAAUCAGCGACUCGUUUGCGGGACCCUCACUGUAUGCAAAACACAUUAUGUUGCACAAGCAAAGAAUGCAAUUUCCAGCGAAUGAUUGAAUGAUACGAUCGCAGUAUACAUAAUUAUUACUUCCUUUGUCAUAUAGUGUAUUGGAUCGGAAGAUGCUCAAAAAUUUGAUAAAUAUUUCGAAGAUCUUUGUCCUUGUUUUUAAGAAAAUUAUCUUUUUAUUAUAAAAAUGCUGCGAAUAGUAAAAGAUUUUAAAUAUUGUUUACAAACUUUUAUUUUUAAUAUUUGUAGUUUUCUUUAUAUCAAGAUCAGUUCCAAUUGAUCCUCCUGUGAUAUAUUUUAUAUGUAACAAAUCAGCGAAGAAUGGGAUCUGUAUGUAUUAGUUGCAAAAUUUGUUACAGAUUAUUAUACUUGUAAUUAACAAAAUACAAAAUCAUGAAACGAAGCACUUUAUCUUCCUACAGAGGAAUAUUAAAUAUGUAUACAUUGCGUAUAGCUCGACCAAGAAUAUUUUUUCAAACAUUUUAUAUUAACGAUAUACAUAUUAACGAAAGAUAACUGAUGAUGCUUAUUGUAUUAUCGAGAAUAAUAUAGAUUACGUGGACUGUUUUGUGAAAUAUUUUGAAGAAUUCUUCACAAAAUCUACUAAAUCAAAUAAUCGAAUUAUAUAAUGAAAUUACAUAAUGAAACACAUUAAGCAAUCCAGACCUUGAUUGCUUAUUAAUCCUUUUGAUAUCGCAUUUCGAUAUACUCAAGAAAUGUUUGAAAGCUUUUAUUGAGAAAGAAAAAAAAAAUAAAUAAUAAAUAAAAAAAUAAAUAAAUAAAUAUUUGUUUUGUCAUUAAUUAUUUCAUGGAUAUGUCAAUUAUGAAAAUCGUUAAAUCUAAUUUAAUGUAAAGAAACAAUAAUGCAUUAAAAAUGUGCCGAUAUAAGUUCUAUAAUUUUUUUCAUAUAUAAAAAAAAGAAAAACCGAUAUCGAAAGGGUUAAAUCAUUACUAUUGAUUGUGCUGCUAUUUACAAAAUAUAUAUACGGAGUAAUCGAACAUUCAUUAAAGCAACAUUUAUAUCUCGCUUUUAUUAAUACAUACUGUAUAUAAUAACUUAUAAAUAGUAUUGUCAGCGAUUGUGUACAAACAUCUUUCGCUAUUACACAUUUACGGGAACCGCGCGAUCGAUAAUUCAAUAAUAUACGACAGAUGUGAAAAAUCUCAGAGAUAUUACUUUCUUCAAAAUCGUUUCUACUUAGAUAGGCGAUAAGCCGUUUUAAAAAUAUGGAAUAUUAUCUCUGUCCUAAUGUGAUUCUUUCUCUCUUUCUCUUUCUCUCUUUUGCUGGCAUCUUCGGAUAGUCGAUUUCUUCGAUCAAAUUAAAUCAAAGAGACGAAAUCUUUCAGAAAUAAAUCUAAAGAAACUCUUUUUCUCGAUUACAAGCAUGAUUAUGGUAAAAUGUAGCAAAGCGAGAUUAUAGUUAAAUAAAUUCUUCUAGAGUAUCUUUUUUCCUAUUAGAGAAUCCUUUUUUGCUUUGUGAAAGUUUACAAAGAGAUAGGAACAUAUAUUAAUCGCGCGGCGCAAAAGUUUCCCGUUUAGCAUAAUCAGUAUUGAUAGCACGCGAUUUGCAUAUGUGUUUUUUCAUUUGUGUACUCGCGAUCGUGUUCCUUUACAUGUUUUCCCAAUCAAGCAAAGGCAUUCGAUGGUGACACGACUGUUUUUUUAACUGAUACAGUCCUUGAUCUUUAAACUUUUAUUUUUAACUCGUUUUUCAUUUCAUUAAAAUCGUCGAACGAACGCGAUUACCGGUAACGAAUGA
Cataglyphis hispanica is the source of this 4366-nucleotide long non-coding RNA. RefSeq lists it as uncharacterized. The record is from RefSeq and is a predicted model, not a curated record. The transcript has 4 exons. NCBI's taxonomy places the organism in Eukaryota, Metazoa, Arthropoda, Insecta, Hymenoptera, Formicidae.